Non-coding RNA from Chiloscyllium plagiosum (whitespotted bambooshark), 418 nucleotides. The record is from RefSeq and is a predicted model, not a curated record. NCBI's taxonomy places the organism in Eukaryota, Metazoa, Chordata, Chondrichthyes, Orectolobiformes, Hemiscylliidae.
UCUGAAAGAAAGAAAAGGGCUGGAAUUGUGAGAAGUGAUUUUGGUUUGAACUUUAAGAUGUGCCUGAACCACAGAAAAGACAAAGCUUGUGUUUCCUUUAGAAACCACAGAAAAGACAAAGCUUGUGUUUCCUUUAGAACAUUUUAACAUUUUAUAUAUUUAAAAGUAGAAUAGUGUCUAACAAUUCAAGCUGCAAUUGAUUGAUGAACACAGACAGGGAAGAAUGAGACCUUGGCUGAUAAGACUGAGGAUAACGAAACGACUCGAGAAGACAUCAGUUACAAAUUAAUGCAGAAAACAUCUGCUGAUAAGACCCUAGACAGACAAAGAAGAAUAGGUCUUUGACUAAUGAGACUACGGGGUGAGAAAAACAACAACUCUAGAGACUCUGAAGACAUUUGUUGCGGACUUUGAGAUA